CAAGGAAGGGGCCAUGAGCCAAGAAAUGCAGGCAGCCUCUAGAAGCUGGAAAAUGCGAAGAAACAGAUGCUCCCUUAGAGUCUCCAAAAGGAUUACAGCCCUGUGAACACCUGCGUUUUAGGAUUCUGGCCUCCAGAACUGCAAAAUAAUUAAUUUGUGUUGUUUUAAGCCACUAAGUUUGUGGUAAUUUGUUACAGCACACACAGGAAAUGAAUUCAUCAUUCAAUAGCCAUUUGUUGAUUGCUUCCUAGGUGUAACAAGAUGUGUAACACCCAGUGCCCAAUCUCAAGGAGCUUACCAUUGAAUGUGGCACCCUAUACUGCAAAAAGCUGUCAUAGCACAGAUUUUACGCAAAUGAAUCACUCCUCAACCCUCAAUUCUGUUUAUUUGCAAGAAAAGAUUUUCCUUUUUCUUUAGUACAACUUUUUCCUACACUAUAAGAUGACAAUUAAAUGCCACUCCUUCCUGGAAAAAUGUGGCUGUGUCACAAAGUGAAUGGAGAUGUCAGGUUGCCAAUACAUUCAGUCAUAAUGAAGUAUAGGGAAGUGUUAAUUCAUGUAAGCAUAAUCUCCUUAGAUGCUAAUCAAAAUGCAGAUCCCUGGGCCUCAAAUAGACUAAUUGAAUCUGAAUUUUAGGAGUAAGGCCCAAGAAUAUGCAUUUUAUAAAGCCCACAGGUGAUUCAUGUACACACUUAAUAGUUAAAUCUCCUGAGUCUCAGAACCUAGAAAACUCCUACCUCCCUCUCCCCCGAACAGACACACAGACACCUAUGCUCUGCAAAUGAGAAUCCAGCAGGGAGGGAAUGGGGAUUCUUGUGGCCUGGUAGAUGAGUUAAAAGAAGGAACUCAGUGGGGAAAUGCUUUAUCUAGUUUUCCAAAAGACCUGAUGGAUAAAAGCUACAUAAAAAUGUGACGUCCUUAGCUACUAAGGGAAACCAAAGACUCAUGGCUAGCUGAGAUGGAAGAAAAGCAGCAUCACUGAAGGGUAAAAACCAUUCCAAUGUCAGGACAUUGAUUAUUCUUCAAAAGAGAGAAAAAAAGAGAGAGAAAAUAAUUAUUGUCAUCAUCUGUGGAGCAUUCAGCAUUUUUCAUGUGAGGAAUGGAAGGCUAAGAGUGGUUAAAUAUGUCACCCAAGUUCAUAUAACUAGAAGAAAGAGGCAAGAUUACAGCCUGGAUAUUUUGCUUCUAGAGCCAGCCUGCUUAACUUCUGUAUUGUAAUACUGGGCUUCAGAUUUGCUCACAUAUAUUGACUUAUUGCUUUGUUUUAUUUGCCUUCAUCGUUGAGAAAAAUUCUUCCUUUUCCAUUUCUAAAGCUGCCUAUAAGUUUGUGUCAGGGAAAUAUGUUUCACAUUCAAUAAACAUUAACUGAGUACCUAGUGUGUGCCAGGAACAUAUAGACAUGGGGACCGGAAAGGUGAGUGUGACCAUUUGGCUUUCUUAGAUUCAUAGGAAAAGAGCAAUGAUGACAAUAAUAAAUGCAAUGAGUUAUUUGAGGGCACAGAGAACUGAGGAGGGCACUGACCCAGUCUGGGAUUCAGGGAAGACACCACUGCUGACUGACCUUGAGCAAAUUGUUUAAUCUGUCUCUCUGUUUUAUUCCCUCAUCUGUAACAGAGGUAAUGACAACAGAAUCUUAAUAGGGUCAUUGUGAGGAUUAACUAAGAUGGAAUUUGUGAAGCACUUACCAUACUGUCUAACACAUAAUGAGUGUUUAAUAAAUGCCAUGAUAUCAGUGGACACCUUGAAUAAAGGCCCGAAGAACACCAUAGAAGUUGUCCAAGUAGACUGUGGUGGUUAACACAUUCUUGAUGCCUUCUGAUCCCAGGAUUAUUUGGUAAGAUAAGCUCCAAUCAAGCUUCCUCACCCCAGGUACUGUACUAACUGCUGGAAAGUACAGCCAACAUGGCCUUCAUUGCCAAGUUGAUGGAGCUUCUGGACUUCCACAAAGGACAGUGAAAAAAAAUUUAAAGUAUAAGUAGUAAGAGGAGAAGAAUGAGCAUCUUAGGAUGAACAACAUGAUGUCUUAUUCCCUGAGGAGAUGAGCUUGAGCUAAGGCCAAGGGUGAGUAGGAGGGAAUGUGGAAUUCCAAAGACUGAGAAGGGGCAGAGAAGAUCACAGGCAGAGAAACCACAUCAUAUCUGCACUAAAGACUCUGAAGCAGAUGUGAGUUUCCAAGACACUCAUAAUCAAACAAUACCAACACAGGGUUACAGCUGUAACAAGUGCUGUUAAGAGAACGUGUGCAAUGAGGAACUGAUAAGUUAUUUUCCAGCUCAGACAUGGUGGAUGAGUCAAAGUUAACUAGGUGGAGAGCAAAGGGGAGAGGGAGAGGGAGGCCCAGGCACUGGCAAAGGCUGUGUGGCAGAGAAGGGGGCUGAGCACUGGCUGGGGGGGCCAGAGUACUGAAGCACUGAGAGGUGAUGGAGAAUGGGAGGGCAUGGAGGAUGAAAACGAAAGCAGGGAGCGGUGCAUCAGAAGUUAUAGGGAAGAUUCAGAACCUUUAAGAUUUCUGAAAGUGGUAGGAGUCAUUUGGGAUUUCAUGCAGGUGAAUAGUAUGUUCAAAAUUGCAUUUUCAAAGGAUAACUCUGGCUGGUGAGUGUGAAAUGUGAGGUAGGACCAUGAGGACGUGGAACAAUCAGUGGGAAAGCCAUUACCAAUGGCACUUACCCUAGCUCUGGAAAUCUGAAUGAUCUGGAAGUUGGGGUGUUGGGUCCUUCAGUAGCCUCCAGUAGAUGCUGGUCUUAAUCUCACUGCAGCAGACUCUGAUGUCAAACAUUGGGUGAAAUCAAAUCAAUUGCCCUGGGACUUUUUUUUUUUUUUUGACAGGGUCUCACUCUGUCACCCAGGCUGGAGUGCAGUGGCAUGAUCUUGGCUCACCGCAACCUCCACCUCCCAGGCUGAAGCCAUUCUCUGCCCUCAGCCUCCUGAAUAGCUGGGACUACAGGUGUGUGCCACCGU
RNAcentral lists this long non-coding RNA (2957 nucleotides) under Pan troglodytes (chimpanzee). RNAcentral describes it as "long non-coding RNA NONPTRT011955". The record is from RNAcentral. Lineage: Eukaryota; Metazoa; Chordata; Mammalia; Primates; Hominidae.